AUGGUUUGGGUUAGGUUGGAGUCGGUUUGGGUCAAACCGGUUUCAAGUGUGGUGAUAGCAUAUCCGACCCAUUGCAUCCUAAAGGGAGCCUCUUGUCUUGUCUUUCAAUUUUAACAAAGGAAAAAUUAUAAGUUUUGUCCUUUAUCUUUAUACAAUUUUUCAGGCGGUGUCAUUUUUAACGAAUGUUGACAGGCGGUGUCCUUUACUAGGUAUUUUGUUGUAAGUUUAGUCCUUUACACCCAACACAGUUAAAAAACCCUGUUAAUUGUUGGGUGUAAAGGACUAAAUUUGCAACAAAAUACCUAGUAAAGGACAUCGCUUGUCAACAAUUAACAGGGUUUUUUAACUGGGUUGGGUGUAAAGGACUAAACUUGCAACAAAAUACCUAGUAAAGGACACCACCUGUCAACAUUCGUUAAAAAGGACACCGCCUAAAAAGUAGUAUAAAGAUAAAGAACAAAUUACAAAUUAUUCUAAAAAUUGGGCCUAAUAACCCAGAAAGCACAGUUGGGCCAACAAAUUACUUUGUGUGGUGUUGGUUUAGUAUUUAGUAAUGCUUUUUAUUAAUGCUAUUGUGAUUUUACCAAUUAGGAUUUUAACUUGAAAAGUUUUUGAGACCAACUAAGAACUUUAGAUUAACAUCUUCAUCUAUGCUUUAAUUCAUUUUUUAGGGUGUGACUAAAAUAAAACAAUAUCUUGAAAUAACCGGAGCAUGACUGUCCAAAUAGCUCGUAGCUUAAAGCUUGCUCGAAAGUGAAAUGGUUUGUAAACGAGUCGUGCUUGGCCAAGGCUGCCUCGCUCAUUGGCUCAAUUGAAGUUGACCCAACUUUUAAUAUUUUUAUAAUUACAUUCCAUGUAAAGACUUUCAAAUCUUUUCAUCUUUUCAGCUCAAUUAUCCAUUAUCUAAUCUACUUGAAAACCUUUUUUUUCUUUUAAAUUCAAACAAUGUAAUCAAGCCAAACGGAACAAUGACGAAUACACCAUUUUUUAACCAAGCUGAACUCGAGCUCAAAUUUUCAGCUCGGUUUAAAAUUUAGGCCAAGCUAGAGCUAGCCCGAUUCAUCUUGCCUUGUGAACAACCCGAGAGAGGGUCCAGUUCCUGGUUCAACCGGUCAUUAAGUGUAUCUUAAUGGUGAACUUCACAAAUUCUUUUCUAGAUAAAUAUAAAGUAAGAUAGCGGAUUUUCACCAAACGGUAAAAAAAAUAAGCGUUUUUAAGCAAAUGACAAAAGCAGACAUUUUAUAUACAAC
RNAcentral lists this long non-coding RNA (1250 nucleotides) under Helianthus annuus (common sunflower). RNAcentral's name for it is "hypothetical non coding rna". Lineage: Eukaryota; Viridiplantae; Streptophyta; Magnoliopsida; Asterales; Asteraceae. The record is from RNAcentral.